Molecule: non-coding RNA, 1075 nt
Organism: Anolis sagrei ordinatus
Lineage: Eukaryota; Metazoa; Chordata; Lepidosauria; Squamata; Anolidae
Source: RefSeq, a predicted model, not a curated record
ACUGCUGCUGCUUUUGCUGCUGCUUUCUCUCCUCCCCUUUCCCUCUGUCUUCUUUUGCGUGCACUCAGUUUCUCCCCCUUGUCUCCUCCCCACCCCCACCCCGACUACUGCUGCCCUUACCCUGUGCACCCUGUGGAAGGAAAGAAGGAAAGAAAAAAAGAAAGAAAAAGACAGAAAGAGAAAGAAAGAAAGGAAGAACCGGUCCGAAUCCCUCUUUGAAGAUUUUUACAUCGAAAGAAGGGGAACAUGUGCUUCAUAGAGAAAGUGUAGAAGACUGAAAGAAGAACGUCCAUAAGAGAUCAUGAGACAUGCAAAAAUCAUUAGCACAGGAGAAAGAUCAUUAAACUCAAUGAAGAAUACAAUGAAGAAUACAAAAAUUAAUAAGGAAUGUCUUGCCCUUCUGGUGAACUCUAUCAGAUUAUGAUAAGGGAAGAAGACACAAAUAAUCCAAGAUCAUGGAAGAAUAAGAAAGGCACAGGGGCAAAAUUUCACCUAGUUCUGAAGUCCAUGAAGCCAGUAGUCCAAUAACCAAAGACAAAAAGCCAGCUCCUCGGUGAACCAAGGAGAUGGUGUGUCUCGACGCAACGUGAUGGGGUGUUCGGGAGUGAUCGUGUUAAUCACCCUGGACAUUUCGCUAUUAUAGCUAUCAACCAGGGUGUCAACAGGAUUGCCAGGCUCCAGGACAGGAAGAGCCCCAAGAUUCCUCAGAAAUCCGUCCACAACCAUCAGUCUCCUGGGGCGGACCAUCUUAGUUGGUCCUCCACCUCUGUGAAGGUUAGUGGUUACAGCAAGUCUAAAACUGAUCAAAUGAUGGUCUGUUUGGACUCUCUUGUGACAGCUCAAUCGGUCUUAGCAGAGCCUGAGUUUCCCAGCAUUGGCUCCUUCUAAACAUAGAAAAACUGAUAAGAAAGAACCACCUCCAAGGCAAAGAUCAACCAGUCAAUGAUGAUUAUCUUUUGUGACCCAUCUGAAGCUAAUCAUGAUACUCAUAAAAUAUCUUGCAGGAGACUGUUGUAGUUCAGCGUGUUGGUCGAGUUGCUACUCCUGGUAGCAGGGAGAACGGGUCUACUUUGGA